CGGUAAUUCCAGCUCCAAUAGCGUAUACUAAAGUUGUUGCAGUUAAAAAGCUCGUAGUUGGAUUUCUGCGGGGGCGGGGCGGCCGAUCGCCACUGGCGAGCCGAGCUAGCACUUCCCCCGCAUCCUGCCGCGAACCGUGCUACCAUUAGCUUGGUGGCGCCGGGGAUCGGCUCGUUUACUUUGAGAAAAAUAGAGUGUUCAAAGCAGGCCACACGCCUUGAAUAAGUUAGCAUGGAAUAAUGAUAAAGGACUUCGGUUCUAUUUUGUUGGUGUUCGGGACCGAAGUAAUGAUUGAUAGGGACAGUUGGGGCGGUCCGUAUUCCAAAGCGAGAGGUGAAAUUCUUAGACCUUCGGAAGACGAACAGCUGCGAAAGCGUUCCGCAAGGAUGUUCCCUUUGAUCAAGAACGAAAGUUGGGGGAUCGAAGACGAUCAGAUACCGUCGUAGUCUCAACUAUAAACUAUACCAGCUAGGGAUCGGUCAACGUUUAAUCAUUCGACUUGAUCGGCACCUUAUGAGAAAUCAAAGCAUCUGGGUUCCGGGGGGAGUAUGGUCGCAAGGCUGAAACUUAAAGGAAUUGACGGAAGGGCACCACCAGCCGUGGAGCCUGUGGCUUAAUUUGACUCAACACGGGAAAACUUACCAGGUCCAGACAUAGUAAGGAUUGACAGAUUGAUAGCUCUUUCUUGAUUCUGUGGGUGGUGGUGCAUGGCCGUUCUUAGUUGGUGGAGUGAUUUGUCUGGUUAAUUCCGUUAACGAACGAGACCCCAGCCUGCUAAAUAGCGCGGCUGAGCUUUGCUCGGUGCGAGCUUCUUAGAGGGACUAUGAUGCGCGAUAGCACAUGGAAGUUUGGGGCAAUAACAGGUCUGUGAUGCCCUUAGAUGUUCUGGGCCGCACACGGGCUACACUGGCGCCUGCAACGAGCAUAUCAGCUGGCCCGAGAGGGUCUUGGCUAAUCUUUUGGACCGGCGCCGUGCUUGGGAUUGACCAUUGCAAUUGUUGGUCAUGCAACGAGGAAUGCCUUGUAAACGCGAGUCAUCAGCUCGCAUUGAAUACGUCCCUGCCCCUUGUACACACCGCCC
Molecule: ribosomal RNA, 1081 nt
Filed under: uncultured Rhizaria
Lineage: Eukaryota
Description: SSU rRNA
Rfam family: Eukaryotic small subunit ribosomal RNA
Source: RNAcentral